This is a long non-coding RNA of Oryzias melastigma (Indian medaka), 1974 nucleotides long. RefSeq lists it as uncharacterized. The record is from RefSeq and is a predicted model, not a curated record. NCBI's taxonomy places the organism in Eukaryota, Metazoa, Chordata, Actinopteri, Beloniformes, Adrianichthyidae. The transcript has 3 exons.
CCCUACGGUGGGAAUACCACGAAACGCAGAACACAAACUGACAUACUUGAAUAGGGCAAGCUAAUUUUACAGCAACUAUUCCUCUUGAUGAAACUCCCCAAACCAAUGGAAGGAGCCGCAUCGGAGAAAAAAACACAGAGAGCCACAGGAGAGCAAGACACAUCGCGACACCACACUAAAGGACCAAGGUACCGUCAACACAUCCUGUGUGGCUAGCUUCGUAGUUUGCUUCGUUCUUUGCUAAUGAAAAAAAAAGGAACAGAUUGAUGUCUCGCUCCACGGUACAGGGACCUGAGGUUACUGGGACUGAGGCUGGGAAAGCUACGCUGCUAAGCUAGCAUUGUUGGCCGUUACCUCCUCCCGCUAAAACCCUGUUCGUACACAUAUUGACACCACCACACUAGAACUGAACUGAACUUUUGUCUUUGUUUUUUUUUGGAUACGGAGCAAACAAAAUUUGGUAUUUAUCUGUAAGUCUGGGUUUUUGUUUCUUCUUCUGCUGUUUCCUUGUGUUCUAAAUGUAUUAAUAUAAAAGGGAGCAUUCUUAAAGCCCUGUGUUGUAGUUAUUUUUACCCAUCGGAAAAAAUGAAAUGAGUUAACCAGUGUUUUUUAAAAAAAAUUUGCAAGGGGGAUCAUAUCUGACCCUAGACUGUUUCUUUAAACUGGGAUGUCCUCAACUCUCUUACUUCAACAAACAGAGUGGUGAACGGGUUACACAAGAAAAAACGGAAACAGAGAAGCAAAUAAACAGAGCAAGACAGUAAUAGAAUGACUCUCAAGACAGAACAUAGGAAGGACUGUCAGGUUAUGGGAAACAGGUCCCAGAAGGCACAUUGCCCUGAGCUGACAAGACAAGAAUUCAUGAAAUAACAUGAAAUGACAUGAUGAGCCCUUAAUUCAACAGGGAGUGUCUGGUACACUGGGAAUAAAGAACAGUAAACCCUCUUUAGUAGAAAAGACAGACGAGAGAAUUACAACAGGAGAAUCUACACAGGUAGAGAUGAAUAAUCAAACUUUAAAAUAUGGAGGGUUUUAGUCCAGCCAGUAAUCUGUUUAUGAUUUGUUGAAGACAAGAAACCUUAUCACCUAGGAAAGAGGCAUGCAAACUCCGGAAACAAGAAAAAGCAUGAUCAUUAAGGAAUUUUUAGAAAGUCAAUGGUGAGUUUUUUUUUAGAGCAAAAGUCAAAAGUGUGAGCUGUUUUCUUUCGAAUGGCAUGAUUCAUCUUUUUUUGUAAAGUUUCUCAGGCAGGUCUCUUUGCUCAAAAAGAAAAAACUACAAAUCAUGGACUUCCAUGACAGCAGCUCAUGUUUUUUUUUUUUUUUUUUAAAUCAAGAAUAUACUAUCAGCAGUUUUCUUCAUAAUGAUAGAUAAAAAAAGAAAAACAGGAAGUUUUGCAUAAAGUUAGUAGAAAAUAGUUUCUUCCCCCAAAGAGAAACAGACUAACUUUGUCAUUUUGUAUCCAGAUUGACACUCAGUCGGAUUUAUUAAGCAAUGUUCAGCAGUCGGCAGAGUCACUUUCUGACGUUAGUCUCAUGUCUUUUGAGCUCGUAUGCCACAGGUCAGAUCAGGGUGGUUGGGGAUGGAUCGACUGAAUGCUCUGGAAGAGUUGAAAUCCAACACAAUGGAGUCUGGGGAACAGUCUGUCAUGACAACUGGGAUCUAAAUGAUGCCAAAGUGGUCUGCAGACAGUUGUCCUGUGGGACAGCUCUUCAUGCUGCAAAAUCGGCUCUUUUUGGAAAAGGAUCAGGCACUAUCUGGCUGGAUGAUGUAGCAUGUUUAGGCAAUGAAAGCUCAUUAACAGAGUGUGAUCACAGAGGUUACGGGACCCAUAACUGUAAUCACGGUGAAGAUGCUGGUGUCAUCUGUUCAGGUAAGUAGACCUUAUAUUGUUGUGAGCUUCACAAAAGUUUAAGAUGCAGUCAUCUUCUGUAAACUUCUUCAACCAUUUUUUAUUUGAAUGUCAGCAAAACUAG